This 549-nucleotide ribosomal RNA is filed under the name Rhodotorula mucilaginosa. Its description in RNAcentral is "eukaryotic LSU rRNA". The stretch from base 128 to 281 matches the Rfam family "5.8S ribosomal RNA". The record is from RNAcentral. Lineage: Eukaryota; Fungi; Basidiomycota; Microbotryomycetes; Sporidiobolales; Sporidiobolaceae.
UGGAGUCCGAACUCUCACUUUCUAACCCUGUGCACUUGUUUGGGAUAGUAACUCUCGCAAGAGAGCGAACUCCUAUUCACUUAUAAACACAAAGUCUAUGAAUGUAUUAAAUUUUAUAACAAAAUAAAACUUUCAACAACGGAUCUCUUGGCUCUCGCAUCGAUGAAGAACGCAGCGAAAUGCGAUAAGUAAUGUGAAUUGCAGAAUUCAGUGAAUCAUCGAAUCUUUGAACGCACCUUGCGCUCCAUGGUAUUCCGUGGAGCAUGCCUGUUUGAGUGUCAUGAAUACUUCAACCCUCCUCUUUCUUAAUGAUUGAAGAGGUGUUUGGUUUCUGAGCGCUGCUGGCCUUUACGGUCUAGCUCGUUCGUAAUGCAUUAGCAUCCGCAAUCGAACUUCGGAUUGACUUGGCGUAAUAGACUAUUCGCUGAGGAAUUCUAGUCUUCGGACUAGAGCCGGGUUGGGUUAAAGGAAGCUUCUAAUCAGAAUGUCUACAUUUUAAGAUUAGAUCUCAAAUCAGGUAGGACUACCCGCUGAACUUAAGCAUAUCAA